ACGCACGCUGGCGGCGUGCUUAACACAUGCAAGUCGAACGGAAAGGCCCUGCUUUUGUGGGGUGCUCGAGUGGCGAACGGGUGAGUAACACGUGAGUAACCUGCCCUUGACUUUGGGAUAACUUCAGGAAACUGGGGCUAAUACCGGAUAGGAGCUCCUGCUGCAUGGUGGGGGUUGGAAAGUUUCGGCGGUUGGGGAUGGACUCGCGGCUUAUCAGCUUGUUGGUGGGGUAGUGGCUUACCAAGGCUUUGACGGGUAGCCGGCCUGAGAGGGUGACCGGCCACAUUGGGACUGAGAUACGGCCCAGACUCCUACGGGAGGCAGCAGUGGGGAAUAUUGCACAAUGGGCGGAAGCCUGAUGCAGCAACGCCGCGUGCGGGAUGACGGCCUUCGGGUUGUAAACCGCUUUCGCCUGUGACGAAGCGUGAGUGACGGUAAUGGGGAAAGAAGCACCGGCUAACUACGU
Molecule: ribosomal RNA, 466 nt
Filed under: uncultured bacterium
Lineage: Bacteria
Description: partial 16S ribosomal RNA
Rfam family: Bacterial small subunit ribosomal RNA
Source: RNAcentral